Molecule: ribosomal RNA, 2211 nt
Filed under: Escherichia coli
Lineage: Bacteria; Pseudomonadati; Pseudomonadota; Gammaproteobacteria; Enterobacterales; Enterobacteriaceae
Description: bacterial LSU rRNA
Rfam family: Bacterial large subunit ribosomal RNA
Source: RNAcentral
GGGUUGUGAGGUUAAGCGACUAAGCGUACACGGUGGAUGCCCUGGCAGUCAGAGGCGAUGAAGGACGUGCUAAUCUGCGAUAAGCGUCGGUAAGGUGAUAUGAACCGUUAUAACCGGCGAUUUCCGAAUGGGGAAACCCAGUGUGAUUCGUCACACUAUCAUUAACUGAAUCCAUAGGUUAAUGAGGCGAACCGGGGGAACUGAAACAUCUAAGUACCCCGAGGAAAAGAAAUCAACCGAGAUUCCCCCAGUAGCGGCGAGCGAACGGGGAGCAGCCCAGAGCCUGAAUCAGUGUGUGUGUUAGUGGAAGCGUCUGGAAAGGCGCGCGAUACAGGGUGACAGCCCCGUACACAAAAAUGCACAUGCUGUGAGCUCGAUGAGUAGGGCGGGACACGUGGUAUCCUGUCUGAAUAUGGGGGGACCAUCCUCCAAGGCUAAAUACUCCUGACUGACCGAUAGUGAACCAGUACCGUGAGGGAAAGGCGAAAAGAACCCCGGCGAGGGGAGUGAAAAAGAACCUGAAACCGUGUACGUACAAGCAGUGGGAGCACGCUUAGGCGUGUGACUGCGUACCUUUUGUAUAAUGGGUCAGCGACUUAUAUUCUGUAGCAAGGUUAACCGAAUAGGGGAGCCGAAGGGAAACCGAGUCUUAACUGGGCGUUAAGUUGCAGGGUAUAGACCCGAAACCCGGUGAUCUAGCCAUGGGCAGGUUGAAGGUUGGGUAACACUAACUGGAGGACCGAACCGACUAAUGUUGAAAAAUUAGCGGAUGACUUGUGGCUGGGGGUGAAAGGCCAAUCAAACCGGGAGAUAGCUGGUUCUCCCCGAAAGCUAUUUAGGUAGCGCCUCGUGAAUUCAUCUCCGGGGGUAGAGCACUGUUUCGGCAAGGGGGUCAUCCCGACUUACCAACCCGAUGCAAACUGCGAAUACCGGAGAAUGUUAUCACGGGAGACACACGGCGGGUGCUAACGUCCGUCGUGAAGAGGGAAACAACCCAGACCGCCAGCUAAGGUCCCAAAGUCAUGGUUAAGUGGGAAACGAUGUGGGAAGGCCCAGACAGCCAGGAUGUUGGCUUAGAAGCAGCCAUCAUUUAAAGAAAGCGUAAUAGCUCACUGGUCGAGUCGGCCUGCGCGGAAGAUGUAACGGGGCUAAACCAUGCACCGAAGCUGCGGCAGCGACGCUUAUGCGUUGUUGGGUAGGGGAGCGUUCUGUAAGCCUGUGAAGGUGUGCUGUGAGGCAUGCUGGAGGUAUCAGAAGUGCGAAUGCUGACAUAAGUAACGAUAAAGCGGGUGAAAAGCCCGCUCGCCGGAAGACCAAGGGUUCCUGUCCAACGUUAAUCGGGGCAGGGUGAGUCGACCCCUAAGGCGAGGCCGAAAGGCGUAGUCGAUGGGAAACAGGUUAAUAUUCCUGUACUUGGUGUUACUGCGAAGGGGGGACGGAGAAGGCUAUGUUGGCCGGGCGACGGUUGUCCCGGUUUAAGCGUGUAGGCUGGUUUUCCAGGCAAAUCCGGAAAAUCAAGGCUGAGGCGUGAUGACGAGGCACUACGGUGCUGAAGCAACAAAUGCCCUGCUUCCAGGAAAAGCCUCUAAGCAUCAGGUAACAUCAAAUCGUACCCCAAACCGACACAGGUGGUCAGGUAGAGAAUACCAAGGCGCUUGAGAGAACUCGGGUGAAGGAACUAGGCAAAAUGGUGCCGUAACUUCGGGAGAAGGCACGCUGAUAUGUAGGUGAAGUCCCUCGCGGAUGGAGCUGAAAUCAGUCGAAGAUACCAGCUGGCUGCAACUGUUUAUUAAAAACACAGCACUGUGCAAACACGAAAGUGGACGUAUACGGUGUGACGCCUGCCCGGUGCCGGAAGGUUAAUUGAUGGGGUUAGCGCAAGCGAAGCUCUUGAUCGAAGCCCCGGUAAACGGCGGCCGUAACUAUAACGGUCCUAAGGUAGCGAAAUUCCUUGUCGGGUAAGUUCCGACCUGCACGAAUGGCGUAAUGAUGGCCAGGCUGUCUCCACCCGAGACUCAGUGAAAUUGAACUCGCUGUGAAGAUGCAGUGUACCCGCGGCAAGACGGAAAGACCCCGUGAACCUUUACUAUAGCUUGACACUGAACAUUGAGCCUUGAUGUGUAGGAUAGGUGGGAGGCUUAGAAGUGUGGACGCCAGUCUGCAUGGAGCCGACCUUGAAAUACCACCCUUUAAUGUUUGAUGUUCUAACGU